This 907-nucleotide ribosomal RNA is filed under the name Fusarium fujikuroi. RNAcentral's name for it is "SSU rRNA". It matches the Rfam family "Eukaryotic small subunit ribosomal RNA", at positions 34 to 951 of the family's 1831-position model. The record is from RNAcentral. Lineage: Eukaryota; Fungi; Ascomycota; Sordariomycetes; Hypocreales; Nectriaceae.
GUCUCAAAGAUUAAGCCAUGCAUGUCUAAGUAUAAGCAAUUAUACAGCGAAACUGCGAAUGGCUCAUUAUAUAAGUUAUCGUUUAUUUGAUAGUACCUUACUACUUGGAUAACCGUGGUAAUUCUAGAGCUAAUACAUGCUAAAAAUCCCGACUUCGGAAGGGAUGUAUUUAUUAGAUUAAAAACCAAUGCCCUUCGGGGCUCACUGGUGAUUCAUGAUAACUCCUCGAAUCGCAUGGCCUUGUGCCGGCGAUGGUUCAUUCAAAUUUCUUCCCUAUCAACUUUCGAUGUUUGGGUAUUGGCCAAACAUGGUUGCAACGGGUAACGGAGGGUUAGGGCUCGACCCCGGAGAAGGAGCCUGAGAAACGGCUACUACAUCCAAGGAAGGCAGCAGGCGCGCAAAUUACCCAAUCCCGACACGGGGAGGUAGUGACAAUAAAUACUGAUACAGGGCUCUUUUGGGUCUUGUAAUUGGAAUGAGUACAAUUUAAAUCCCUUAACGAGGAACAAUUGGAGGGCAAGUCUGGUGCCAGCAGCCGCGGUAAUUCCAGCUCCAAUAGCGUAUAUUAAAGUUGUUGUGGUUAAAAAGCUCGUAGUUGAACCUUGGGCCUGGCUGGCCGGUCCGCCUCACCGCGUGUACUGGUCCGGCCGGGCCUUUCCCUCUGUGGAACCCCAUGCCCUUCACUGGGUGUGGCGGGGAAACAGGACUUUUACUGUGAAAAAAUUAGAGUGCUCCAGGCAGGCCUAUGCUCGAAUACAUUAGCAUGGAAUAAUAGAAUAGGACGUGUGGUUCUAUUUUGUUGGUUUCUAGGACCGCCGUAAUGAUUAAUAGGGACAGUCGGGGGCAUCAGUAUUCAAUUGUCAGAGGUGAAAUUCUUGGAUUUAUUGAAGACUAACUACUGCGAAAG